AGAGUUUGAUCCUGGCUCAGAACGAACGCUGGCGGCGCGCCUAAUACAUGCAAGUCGAGCGAGAAGGUGUAGCAAUACACUUGUAAAGCGGCGAACGGGUGAGGAAUACAUGGGUAAUCUACCAUCGAGUGGGGAAUAACCAGCCGAAAGGUUGGCUAAUACCGCGUACGCCUCCGGAUUUUCGGAUUCGGAGGGAAAGCCGUGCUGUGAGUACGGCGCUCUUUGAUGAGCUCAUGUCCUAUCAGCUUGUUGGUAGGGUAACGGCCUACCAAGGCUUUGACGGGUAGCUGGUCUGAGAGGACGAUCAGCCACACUGGCACUGCGACACGGGCCGGACUCCUACGGGAGGCAGCAGUAAGGAAUAUUGCGCAAUGGGCGAAAGCCUGACGCAGCGACGCCGCGUGGGGGAUGAAGGUCUUCGGAUUGUAAACCCCUUUCGGGAGGGAAGAUGGAGCGAGCAAUCGCUCGGACGGUACCUCCAGAAGCAGCCACGGCCAACUUCGUGCCAGCCGCCGCGGUAAUAC
RNAcentral lists this ribosomal RNA (524 nucleotides) under uncultured bacterium. Its description in RNAcentral is "bacterial SSU rRNA". It matches the Rfam family "Bacterial small subunit ribosomal RNA", at positions 8 to 526 of the family's 1533-position model. The record is from RNAcentral.